ACAAGGCCUUACCAAUUAUGUAGACAAACCCAUUAGUCUUUAGGAUUUUUUUUUUUUUUAAACUCCAGUCUUGAGGAUUUCUACCGUUCAUGUUGAUGUAGUUUCGUUGCAGAACCGUCGUUCCUUUUGGGAUCACAUCGCUUCCGGCCACGCUUGUGUAACUGCUACAAUCAUCAUUGUUACGUCGUAUUAAGUCGGACUUCUUCCUUCUCUCCUAUUAUCUACAUAAUUUUCUUCAUAUCUUUUCUUUAUUAUUUUGUUUUCUCUUAUUAUUCAAGAUUUGUUAUUUCCUUUCUUUGUUUAGCAAGAAAUCUCUUCUUCUUCGUCAUCCCAAGCAGUCUGUGACAUAGCUCCGCCGUCAAGAAGAGAAAGAAGAAUUCGGACUCUGCCGCCGCAUUAACUACAUUAAGCGUCUGGAUCAGCUCUUACCCUCUUGACCGUUACUCUGUUUGUUUCUUGGAUAGUGUUGGAAGAUCAAAGGAUUGAUCUUUGCUUUUAACACAUUUGAUUAUAAUUUUCUGUACAGGAAGAUGACAGGCUUAGAGUAUGUGAUCAGUGAUGCUACUGAGCCAAACCUGUUUGUCUUUCCCAAGCAAAAGAAAGAUUGUCCUGAGAAGGUUACACCGAAGCUAGAGUAUUAUAUCUUGGACAGUACUAUAUUCCAAGCUCCAUAUCGUUGCAGUGUCUUAAUUUGCUGCUCGAGUUGUUUGGUCGUGAUAUUCAUAAUAUUUUGAUGGCUUUCUCUGCUGAUGCAUCAAAGUUGGAGACCAUUAGGCAGGUUGAUGCUAAAAACGAGAACGAGCCCUCCAAGACAAAAGCCCCCAAUGCUAACACCACUUCUCCUUCGGUAAGUAUCUCCAAUAAAAGUUAAUGUUUUUCCUUAGUUGGGUUUUAUGGGUUUGCUCUGUGACGAGGAAUGGAAUUUGAAGUUCUUAGAUUCAUUCAAAGAGGAUAUCGUUGUAAAAAACAGGAAGCAACACCUUGUGUAAGAAAAAAAACGCCAUAAGGAUAUUCUUCUAAGACGAUAAGUUUCCACAAACAUCGGAAGUGAACAAUAUAUAUGUCGAAUAAGUCAAGAGUUCUAAGAGCAAUGCAUUUCUUCAGGCUGAUCUUGCUAUAGUAGAGGACGGUAGUGAUAAGAUAGUAAUCAGGUUAGCGUUAGGCCAACGAACCGGACCUGGUUUGCAGCAUCUCAUUAUUCUUUUAAUUAUUGUUUUGAUUGAGUUAGUUGUUAAUAACGGAGACUGAUUCUUCCUAAUGUAUUGGGACUUAAUCGUCCCACUUUUUUCCAUUUCCUCUUUGUAAGGGAUCAUGAUCCCACAAUUGUUCCAUGUAACUUUUAUCUAUUUAAAUCAAUGAAAACAAUAAAAAGAGGUCGCCUUAACUACCUAAAAAAAUAGUGUGUUCUUAGUUUGUUCUUGAGAAAAUUCUCUUAGCUUUGAAGAGGGACCUUAAUUGGUAUUAAAACACAUGUUUCUGGAUCAACAUUUAGUGAUCCUGUUACCGGGACCUAUCAGGUAGCAUCGGCUCUUCUUCCGGUAACACGGCUCUUUCUACCCUUAUUUUUACACUUAAUGGUAGCAAAAUGCAGGGGAUGGCAGAGCCGUUAUAUUUAGGAAUGGUGAAGCACUACAAGAAAAGUGUAUUAACAGCGACAAAACUUUCCGACAAUUUAUGUCAUCAGAAAAAUAGCUAGGAUUUUCUAAGAAUUUACUGAGAACAUAUUUA
This is a long non-coding RNA of Brassica oleracea var. oleracea, 1728 nucleotides long. RefSeq lists it as uncharacterized. The transcript has 4 exons. The record is from RefSeq and is a predicted model, not a curated record. Lineage: Eukaryota; Viridiplantae; Streptophyta; Magnoliopsida; Brassicales; Brassicaceae.